Molecule: long non-coding RNA, 387 nt
Organism: Tachysurus vachellii
Lineage: Eukaryota; Metazoa; Chordata; Actinopteri; Siluriformes; Bagridae
Exons: 3
Source: RefSeq, a predicted model, not a curated record
UCUUCCCUUUUGAAAUGUGAUUUAAUGGAAGAGAGUGUUAUAAGGGCCACUCAAUCUGAGGCUGCUUAUUUGUCUCUGUUAAACAGACAGUAAAAAAGGAUCCAGUGAAUCGGUUGCCUGCUGUCCCGUGUCUGUCUUUGCAUCACACAACGUAACACAACGCAGACCAAGUUUUAAUACCCGGUGUCGCUGGCCGCACAUCACGCCGGGCAUAAGCGAGCCACACGGGUUACAUUUAGACAUCACAAAGUUGUACAGUCUCUCAUGCUGCAGUAUGGAAAAGACUGUUACAUCUUUCCUUAUGAGCUUAUUUUCUUCCUUCUCGAAGAUUACCUUAGCUCCGCCUGUUGUAGCAGCUUGUACAGAGACUAUGCACUGUGGGUACAA